GCUUGCAGUUCCCCUUUUGUGAACUGAAGUUCACAAAACCCCCUUUGGAAAAAACAUAAAUCACAGGAGCAUCUGUAAUUUAUGCUUUUUCCCAGGCGCAUCCUCAGCUUUGGCCAAAUAAACCUCUAAUGGAUGGAGACUUGCUUCAGUCACUUUUUGGUUUACAUUUUGGUAACCACAAAGGGGCUUUCUGAGUGGAGUUGGCUCUUGGCCUGUAGCAACUCUCCUACUGGGGCCCUAGUACCAGCUGGAGCUCUUUAUUGCUCUGACCUAUUGGAUGAUUUGCUGAAGUCUGAGAGUUUCUCCCUCCAGAGAUCCCUAAUCACUCAAAAAUUUCCAGUUGAGAUCUGAAGUUUAUUCCACUGCAGAACUCCUUUUCUGAGAGUUCUUACUUCUAACAAGGAAGAAGACUUUCCUGCUUCCGUGAUGGCAGAGAGCAGUUUUCAGCUUGUGCCCCAUCUCCAGGGUGAAAGAUAUCUCCUUCAAAGCUUUUCAGGGGCCCAACUGGAAAAUCUUAAUGUUAAUUUAAGGUCAAAAGACAUAAUUUAGAAUUUGUUUUGGACAGGCACAUAGACCAAUGGAACAGACUAGAGAACUCAGAAAUAAAAUCACACCUCUACAACCAUCUGAUCUUCAACAAAGUUGACAAAAACAAGCAAUGGGGAAGUGAUUCUCUAUUUAACAAGUGGUGCUGUGAGAACUGGCUAGCCAUAUGCAAAAAUUGAAACUGGACCCCUUCCUUACACCGUAUACAAAAAUUAACUCAAGAUGGAUUAAAGACUUAAAUGUAAAACCCGAAAUUAUAAAAACCCUAGAAGAAAAUCUAGGCAAUACCAUUCAGGACACAGACGUGGGCAAAGAUUUUACGAUGAAAUUGCCAAAAACAAAAGCAAUGGCAACAAAAGCAAAAAUUGACAAAUGGGAUUUAAUUAAACUAAAGAGCUUCUGCACAGCGAAAGAAACUAUCAUCAGAGCAAACAGGCAGAAGAAGGUGGAAGGAGCUGACUUGCUGAGUCUUCCCACCUUCAUCUUUCUCUUGUGCUGAUGCUUCCUGCCCUCGAACAUUGAACUCCAAGUUCUUCAGCUUUUGGACUCUUGGAAACUUACACCAGUAAUUUGCCAGGGGCUGUUAGGCCUUCAGCCACAGACUGAAAGCCGCAUUGUUAGCUUCCCAACUUUUGAGGUUUGGGAACUCAGACUGAACCACCACUGGCUUCUUUGCUCCUCGGCUUGCAGGCAGCCUAUCAUGGGACUUCACCUUGUGAUCGUGUGAGUCAACUCUCCUUAAUAAACUAGAAUAUUUCUCAGAAGCCUGAACAACAUAACUUCUAAGACAAAGAUUUUUUGUGUGGACCAACUCACACUCUCCUUAAUAAACUCUCCUUAAUAAACUCCUUUCAUAUAUACAUAUAUCCUAUUAGUUCUGUCCCUUUGGAGACCCCUGACUAAUACACCACCUUCACUCAACUGGACUCUACAGGCAGAUACCCAAGAGACUGAUAUGGUAAGAAGUCUUAACUUUGUCAGAUGCCAGGGUUUCUUAGCUGCAGCCUCACAGUUAGCGGUAUUUGAUACCAACUUCACUGCCAGAACUUUAGGGAAGGAAAAACUUUCCCUCUACUCUCUGAGAGUUUGAUAAUUGAGUCUAAGAAAUAAACUGAUAGUAGACAAGUAAACAGGAGAAAGGUAUACAAAUUUAUUGCAGAAAAGUUAAUAUCCCAAAACCCAGUGAGAUCUAGAAGCAUAUACACCCUCUUCAUAGAGGGGAGGGCAGGAGUGUGGGCAACUUAGAGGAGAGUAAGUGAUUUUGGGGAAAGAUGAAUGACCCCCAGAAGAAGAGAUAAUAGCUUGUGACAAAGUCUGUCUGGCAUGGUGUGGACCUCCAGUCUCCUCUCCUGAGAUCCAAGUCAAUCUUCCCGGGUUAAUAAGACUCCUGGAGAGGAGAUUCAUAAAAAUUGAGUUCCUUUUGAGUUCAUCUUUAGGCAGAUAAGGGGAGCCCAGAGAGCCUAUGCCUAUAUUUGCUGUUUUCCAAGUGCCCUCUGUUAAAGUAAUCAGCAUAUCAAAGUGGCAUAUUUUGGGAUGUCAUUUCCUUAACUGUCUUACUUACAUGACAUGGGAACUUGAUAGACACCUAAAAAUUAAUGUGUCUGAAACUGGCUGAUGAUCUGAAAACUUGAUAUCCCUGCAGUCUUCUACACUUCAGUCUAUGGCAAGUCUAUUUUCUUAGGCCCAAAACCUUACCUCAUCCUUGACUCCCCUCUCUCUCUUAUACCCAUAUUCAAUCUACUGCAAAUCCAUAACUUUACUUUCAAAGAACACCCAGACUCUGCCUGCUUCUCACCAGCUCUAUGGCUAUCAUCCUGCUCCAAGCCACCAUUAUCUGGCCUCAGUUAUUAUAAUAACCUUCCAGCCAGUCUUCCCUCUUCCCCUCUUGGCCCCAUCCCCACGGUCUUUUACAAUACAGCAGCCAGAGUGAUCCUUGUAAAAUGUAAGUCAAAUCAUGUCCCUUGCGUACUCAAUGGUUCCCCAUUUUUCUCUGAAUAAAAGCCAGAGUCCUUAAAUGGCACACCAGACCCUGGAGGUUCUGGCCCUGCUUAUUUCCAUGCUCUCCCCUUGCUUGCUCCACUCCAGCCACACUGGCCUCUGCGGAGUUUUCUGAACUCACUAGGCAUGCCACUCAGAGCUAUGAAUUUGCUAUUCCCUCUCCCUGGACUACUCCCUCAUCACUAUAGCCAUAAGAUAGUGGAUAGAGAUAGUCCUCCCCGGACUGCUCCCUCCUCAGGUACAGCCAUAUGAUUUGCUCCCUUGUUAACAUCAUUUUCUCAAAGAAACAUUGACUUUAAGCCUUUCGAUGGCUCGUUCCUAACAGUAAAACCCAAGCUUGGCCUGCAAGUCCUGGAGCAAUCUAACUGCUUCUCCUCUCUGCAGAGUCAUCUCCCCGCUCUCUUCUCCCUGUUUACUAGACCCAGCCAUUGCAGCGUUCUUAUAGCUUUCUGAAGGCACCAAGUUCUUUGCUGUCCCUGCUUAGAACUCUUUUCCAUCUACUUCUCACUCACUAGCUCCAACUCAUCUUCUAGGUUUCAGAGCCCACGUCACUUCUUUAGGAACGCCCCUCCUCACUUACCCCUGCCAUCUAUAUUUGAUCUCUCUCUGUAAAGACUCUAUACUGUUCCUUCAUAGAACUUAAUGUAUAACUUCAUAUUCUCAUUAUGUGAUUAUUUGUGUAAUGAAUGUUUCUCCUACUCCACUGUAAGUUCCAUGAGGUCAAAAAUCUUGUCUGUCUGGUUGGUCACCAGAUACCCCACACCAGGCACAGUGCCCAGCUCAUAGUAUGUAUUUAAAAAUGAAUAGAUCUGAUUUUAUUAUACCUCUAUCUUACUUUUGCUAAUUUUUCAAAAGGACUUUAUUAUCUGUUUACCAGAAAAUAAAGUCUAUUAUCCAAGCUUGUGAUAGAUUUCUACUUGGCUAAAUAAAACAUAAUAUUCUUUUAGGUUCUCUGGGACUAGAGAGUAGUCGAAGAGCAAAUGAUUUUCAUUGGUUUAUAAUGUAUUCCUAUAGAAAUCACUUUGAUAAAAUAGAAUAAAAAUAUGCUGGAAGUUUUUGAAAACAAAGCCUAUAACUGUUCCUUUAAGGCUUAGAUCCUUAGCAAUAAAAUCCCCCGUGAUUCUAAGUCCCACUGAGUCUCUACAGCACUGCCCUCAGCUCUAACAGCUCCUGGAAGCACUGGCAGGACAUGAUCUACAUUUCCACAUGGCAGGGUUACACUCAGAUUUUGUUCCAAGCAUGCUUUUUAUGGAUCUGAUUGUCCCUCUUCUAAAGGCAGAGUUACCUCACUAGGGUAUUGAGGAUGGGGGGCUGGCUAUAGUAGGGAUGGUGCUGGAGAUUGUUGAUACAAAGGGAUCAUGAAAAUGAAUAAAGCUGUCCAGGAGACUCAGGAAGAUUCAGCCAACUCUAAGGAAGAUAUCAGUCUGGAUUUAAUCAGAGAAGCAGAACCACUAGGAGAGAGAUAUAUAAUAAAGGAUUUGUUCAGGGAUUUGAUCUUUCACAAUUACGGGAUUUGGUUAUAAAGUCUCUGUAAGGCCCUGUGUCUAAUGUUAGAGCCUGAAGUUUUCAGCAAGUAGUUGGGAAAGGAAUAUGGCUAUAAAGCAGAGGUUCUUAACUAGAGCCUAUUUUGACCCCCAGGAGACAUGUGGUACUGUUUGGAGACAUUCUGGCUUGUCACAACUUGGGUGUAGGCUAUGACAUGUAGUGAGUACAAGCCAGGGAGGCCACUAAAUAUCCUACAAUGAAUAGGCCAGUCCCCCACAGUAAAGAAUUAUCCAACCCAAAUGUCAAUAAUGCUGAGGCUGAGAAACCCUCACAUAAAGUAAGGAAAAAACUGGAAACUGCGAGUGUAAGCUGGCGCCCAAGAAGAUGAACUAGAACCAAUGCUUCCUAAUGCUUCCAGCUUUAACAAUGCAGGUGUUCGGCAGCAGACAUGGGUGCCUUUUGUCAAAAAGCUAACCGUGCACUUCACUAGAGCCAGAAAAGCUGAAGAAAGAUCCAGGGGCAGGUGGAAAAGCUGCCAGCCCAGCUGCGGUUCCACACCAAUAAGAUGGAGCAUCCCUCUUGUUGCCCAGGCUCGAGUGCAAUGGCAUGAUCUCGUCUCACGGCAACCUCCGCCUCCCAGGUUCAAGCAAUUCUCCUGCUUCAGCUUCCCAAGUAACUGGGAUUACACAGGCGUGCACCACCAUGCCCGGCUAAUUUUUUUUUGUAUUUUUAGUAGAGACAGGGUUUCUUCAUGUUGGUCAGGCUGUCUCAAACUCCUGACCUCAGGUAAUGUGCCUGGCUCCCUUCCCUGCUUUUUAUAAAUAAAAAAAAU
RNAcentral lists this long non-coding RNA (4861 nucleotides) under Homo sapiens (human). RNAcentral describes it as "non-protein coding lnc-DAZL-1:4". The record is from RNAcentral. Lineage: Eukaryota; Metazoa; Chordata; Mammalia; Primates; Hominidae.